GUGCUUGCUUUGACAGCACAUAUACUAAAAUUGGAAUGAUACAGAGAAGAUUAGUAUGGCCCCUGCACAAGGAUGACACGCAAGUUCGUGAAGCCUUCCAUAUUUUU
Molecule: small nuclear RNA, 107 nt
Filed under: Rhinolophus ferrumequinum (greater horseshoe bat)
Lineage: Eukaryota; Metazoa; Chordata; Mammalia; Chiroptera; Rhinolophidae
Source: RNAcentral